UACGUAGGCAGCGAGCGUUGUUCGGAGUUACUGGGCGUAAAGCGCACGUAGGCGGCUUUGUAAGUUAGAGGUGAAAGCCCGGGGCUCAACUCCGGAAUUGCCUUUAAGACUGCAUCGCUAGAAUUGUGGAGAGGUAAGUGGAAUUCCGAGUGUAGAGGUGAAAUUCGUAGAUAUUCGGAAGAACACCAGUGGCGAAGGCGGCUCACUGGACUGGUAUUGACGCUGAGGUGCGAAAGCGUGGGAGCAAACAGG
This 252-nucleotide ribosomal RNA is filed under the name uncultured bacterium. Its description in RNAcentral is "partial 16S ribosomal RNA". It matches the Rfam family "Bacterial small subunit ribosomal RNA", at positions 524 to 776 of the family's 1533-position model. The record is from RNAcentral.